RNAcentral lists this unclassified non-coding RNA (348 nucleotides) under soil metagenome. Its description in RNAcentral is "partial contains 5.8S ribosomal RNA, internal transcribed spacer 2, and large subunit ribosomal RNA". The stretch from base 1 to 120 matches the Rfam family "5.8S ribosomal RNA", at positions 35 to 154 of the family's 154-position model. The record is from RNAcentral.
GAUGAAGAACGCAGCGAAAUGCGAUAAGUAAUGUGAAUUGCAGAAUUCAGUGAAUCAUCGAAUCUUUGAACGUACAUUGCGCCCGCCAGUAUUCUGGCGGGCAUGCCUGUCUGAGCGUCAUUUCAACCCUCAUGCCCCUAGGGCGUGGUGUUGGGGAUCGGCCAAAGCCCGCGAGGGACGGCCGGCCCCUAAAUCUAGUGGCGGACCCGUCGUGGCCUCCUCUGCGAAGUAGUGAUCUUCCGCCUCGGAGAGCGAUGAGCCCCUGCCGUUAAACCCCCAACUUUCCAAGGUUGACCUCAGAUCAGGUAGGAAUACCCGCUGAACUUAAGCAUAUCAAUAAGCGGAGGA